ACUCCUACGGGAGGCAGCAGUAGGGAAUCUUCCGCAAUGGGCGAAAGCCUGACGGAGCAACGCCGCGUGAGUGAAGAAGGUCUUCGGAUCGUAAAACUCUGUUAUUAGGGAAGAACAAAUAUGUAAGUAACUAUGCACGCUUGAUCGGUGACCUAAUCAGAAAGCCACGGCUAACUACGUGCCAGCAGCCGCGGUAAUACGUAGGUGGCAAGCGUUAUCCGGAAUUAUUGGGCGUAAAGCGCGCGUAGGCGGUUUUUAAGUCUGAUGUGAAAGCCCACGGCUCAACCGUGGAGGGUCAUUGGAAACUGGAAAACUUGAGUGCAGAAGAGGAAAGUGGAAUUCCAUGUGUAGCGGUGAAAUGCGCAGAGAUAUGGAGGAACACCAGUGGCGAAGGCGACUUUCUGGUCUGUAACUGACGCUGAUGUGCGAAAGCGUGGGGAUCAAACAGGAUUAGAUACCCUGGUAGCUACGAGU
RNAcentral lists this ribosomal RNA (474 nucleotides) under uncultured bacterium. Its description in RNAcentral is "bacterial SSU rRNA". It matches the Rfam family "Bacterial small subunit ribosomal RNA", at positions 335 to 802 of the family's 1533-position model. The record is from RNAcentral.